Molecule: ribosomal RNA, 406 nt
Filed under: uncultured bacterium
Lineage: Bacteria
Description: partial 16S ribosomal RNA
Rfam family: Bacterial small subunit ribosomal RNA
Source: RNAcentral
AUUGAACGCUGGCGGCAGGCCUAACACAUGCAAGUCGAACGAGUGGCGGACGGGUGAGUAAUGUCUGGGAAACUGCCCGAUGGAGGGGGAUAACUACUGGAAAAGGUAGCUAAUACCGCAUACCAUCGGAUGUGCCCAGAUGGGAUGAGCUAGUAGGUGGGGUAACGGCUCGCCUAGGCGACGAUCCCUAGCUGGUCUGAGAGGAUGACCAGCCAACCUGGAACUGAGACCCGGUCCAGAAUCCUGCGGGAGGCAGCAGUGGGGAAUAUUGCACAAUGGGCGCAAGCCUGAUGCAGACAUGCCGGGUGUAUGAAGAAGGCCUUCGGGUUGUAAAGUACUUUCAGCGAGGAGGCGUUACUCGCAGAAGAAGCACCGGCUAACUCCGUGCCAGCAGCCGGGGUAAUAC